RNAcentral lists this ribosomal RNA (494 nucleotides) under uncultured bacterium. RNAcentral describes it as "partial 16S ribosomal RNA". It matches the Rfam family "Bacterial small subunit ribosomal RNA", at positions 28 to 507 of the family's 1533-position model. The record is from RNAcentral.
GACGAACGCUGGCGGCGCGCUUAGCACAUGCAAGUCGAACGGAAAGGCCUGCUUUCCCUUGUGGAUUGCGGGUACUCGAGUGGCGAACGGGUGAGUAACACGUGAGUGAUCUGCCCCCAACUUGGGUAUAAGCCUGGGAAACUGGGUCUAAUUCCCGAUAGGACUGCAGGGUGGUGCCUGUGGUGGAAAGCGAUUUUCUAGUGGUUGGGGAUGAGCUCGCGGCCUAUCAGCUUGUUGGUGGGGUAAUGGCCUACCAAGGCGGCGACGGGUAGCCGGCCUGAGAGGGUGGACGGCCACAUUGGGACUGAGAUACGGCCCAGACUCCUACGGGAGGCAGCAGUGGGGAAUAUUGCACAAUGGGCGGAAGCCUGAUGCAGCGACGCCGCGUGGGGGAUGACGGCCUUCGGGUUGUAAACUCCUUUCGACCGCGAGGAAGCCACCUGGUUGGAAGGGUGGUGACGGUAGUGGUAGAAGAAGCACCGGCUAACUACGUG